This 27-nucleotide non-coding RNA is filed under the name Homo sapiens (human). Lineage: Eukaryota; Metazoa; Chordata; Mammalia; Primates; Hominidae. The record is from RNAcentral.
UGCAAAGCCGACCUAUGCUACAGCCCA